Molecule: ribosomal RNA, 465 nt
Filed under: Vreelandella stevensii
Lineage: Bacteria; Pseudomonadati; Pseudomonadota; Gammaproteobacteria; Oceanospirillales; Halomonadaceae
Description: partial 16S ribosomal RNA
Rfam family: Bacterial small subunit ribosomal RNA
Source: RNAcentral
CCUACGGGGGGCUGCAGUGGGGAAUAUUGGACAAUGGGGGCAACCCUGAUCCAGCCAUGCCGCGUGUGUGAAGAAGGCCCUCGGGUUGUAAAGCACUUUCAGUGAGGAAGAACGCCUGGUGGUUAAUACCCAUCAGGAAAGACAUCACUCACAGAAGAAGCACCGGCUAACUCCGUGCCAGCAGCCGCGGUAAUACGGAGGGUGCGAGCGUUAAUCGGAAUUACUGGGCGUAAAGCGCGCGUAGGUGGCUUGAUAAGCCGGUUGUGAAAGCCCCGGGCUCAACCUGGGAACGGCAUCCGGAACUGUCAAGCUAGAGUGCAGGAGAGGAAGGUAGAAUUCCCGGUGUAGCGGUGGAAUGCGUAGAGAUCGGGAGGAAUACCAGUGGCGAAGGCGGCCUUCUGGACUGACACUGACACUGAGGUGCGAAAGCGUGGGUAGCAAACAGGAUUAGAUACCCUGGUAGUC